RNAcentral lists this ribosomal RNA (402 nucleotides) under uncultured bacterium. Its description in RNAcentral is "bacterial SSU rRNA". It matches the Rfam family "Bacterial small subunit ribosomal RNA", at positions 29 to 424 of the family's 1533-position model. The record is from RNAcentral.
AAUGAACGCUGGCGGCGCGCCUAAUACAUGCAAGUCGAGCGAGAAGACGUAGCAAUACGUUUGUAAAGCGGCGAACGGGUGAGGAAUACAUGGGUAACCUACCCUCGAGUGGGGAAUAACUAGCCGAAAGGUUAGCUAAUACCGCGUACGCUUCUUGGACUUCGGUUCAGGGAGGAAAGCGAUACCGUGGGUAUCGCGCUCUUGGAUGGGCUCAUGUCCUAUCAGCUUGNGGUGAGGUAACGGCUCACCAAGGCUUUGACGGGUAGCUGGUCUGAGAGGACGAUCAGCCACACUGGCACUGCGACACGGGCCAGACUCCUACGGGAGGCAGCAGUAAGGAAUAUUGCGCAAUGGGCGAAAGCCUGACGCAGCGACGCCGCGUGGGGGAUGAAGGCCUCGGUU